This 450-nucleotide ribosomal RNA is filed under the name uncultured bacterium. RNAcentral describes it as "partial 16S ribosomal RNA". It matches the Rfam family "Bacterial small subunit ribosomal RNA", at positions 338 to 795 of the family's 1533-position model. The record is from RNAcentral.
CCUACGGGUGGCUGCAGUGGGGAAUAUUGGACAAUGGGCGAAAGCCUGAUCCAGCAAUACCGCGUGUGUGAUGAAGGCCUGCGGGUUGUAAAACACUUUCGUUGGGGAAGAAAUGCUCAAAGUUAAUACCUUUGAGAGUUGACGUUACCCAAAGAAGAAGCACCGGCUAACUCUGUGCCAGCAGCCGCGGUAAUACAGAGGGUGCAAGCGUUAAUCGGAGUGACUGGGCGUAAGGGGCGUAUGGGUGGAUUGAAAUCCCCGGGCUUAACCUGGGAAUGGCAUUCGAUACUGGAUAUCUCGAGUAUGGUAGAGGAAAGCGGAAUUCCCGGUGUAGCGGUGAAAUGCGUAGAUAUCGGGAAGAACAUCAGGGCGAAGGCGGCUUUCUGGACCAAUACUGACACUGAGGCGCGAAAGCGUGGGGAGCAAACAGGAUUAGAUACCCGAGUAGUC